Molecule: ribosomal RNA, 275 nt
Filed under: uncultured bacterium
Lineage: Bacteria
Description: partial 16S ribosomal RNA
Rfam family: Bacterial small subunit ribosomal RNA
Source: RNAcentral
CCUACGGGUGGCUGCAGUAGGGAAUAUUGCGCAAUGGACGAAAGUCUGACGCAGCGACGCCGCGUGGGUGAUGAAGGUCUUCGGAUCGUAAAGCCCUGUCGAAAGGGACGAAAAACAGGCUGGCUAACAUCCACCUGCUUGACGGUACCUUUAGAGGAAGCACCGGCUAACUACGUGCCAGCAGCCGCGGUAAUACGUAGGGUGCUAGCGUUGUUCGGAAUCAUUGGGCGUAAAGCGCGUGUAGGCGGUUAGUUAAGUCAGAUGUGAAAUCCCUG